AAAAAAGAAAAAAGAAAAAAGAAAAAAGAAAAAAUCAAUCAAAAAAUCAAAAAAUCAAAAAUCAAGUCAUUUAGGUUUCAACUCAUUAAGCCUGAACUACGAAAGUCCUGAUCUCCCCUCUUCAGUGGGAGUACGUAGGCAGCCAUUUAUGGUGCGGUUAAACCAAACAAAAACCCAAAAAACCCAAAUAAACACUUCUCAAACAAACACUUCUCAAACCAUUUAUCUCGUC
Molecule: long non-coding RNA, 232 nt
Filed under: Panax ginseng (ginseng)
Lineage: Eukaryota; Viridiplantae; Streptophyta; Magnoliopsida; Apiales; Araliaceae
Description: long non-coding RNA (PGIN_LNC013504)
Source: RNAcentral